UACGUAGGGUGCGAGCGUUGUCCGGAAUUACUGGGCGUAAAGAGCUCGUAGGUGGUUUGUCGCGUUGUUCGUGAAAACUCACAGCUCAACUGUGGGCGUGCGGGCGAUACGGGCAGACUGGAGUACUGCAGGGGAGACUGGAAUUCCUGGUGUAGCGGUGGAAUGCGCAGAUAUCAGGAGGAACACCGGUGGCGAAGGCAGGUCUCUGGGCAGUAACUGACGCUGAGGAGCGAAAGCGUGGGGAGCGAACAGG
This 253-nucleotide ribosomal RNA is filed under the name uncultured bacterium. RNAcentral describes it as "partial 16S ribosomal RNA". It matches the Rfam family "Bacterial small subunit ribosomal RNA", at positions 524 to 776 of the family's 1533-position model. The record is from RNAcentral.